UUGGCACCUUUAAAGAGGAAAGAAAAGAAGAAAGAACACGUCAUCGGCCUUGGACCUCAGGUGGCUGAAGGAGAGAAUGUAUUUGGUGUCUGCCAUAUCUUUGCAUCCUUCAAUAACAAUUUUGUCCAUGUCACUGAUCUUUCCAGCAAAGAAGCCAUCUGCCAUGUGACCGGUGGGAUGAAGGUGAAGGCAGACCGAGAUGAAUCCUCGCCGUAUGCUGCUAUGUUGGCUGCCCAGGAUGUGGCCCAGAAGUGCAAGGAGCUGGGCAUCACUGCCCUACACAUCAAACUCCGGGCCACAGGAGGAAAUAGAACCAAGACCCUCGACCUGGAGCCCAGUUGGCCCUUAGGGCCCUUUCCCGCUCGGGUACGAAGAUCGGGCAGAUUCAGGACGUCACCCCCAUCCCUUCUGCCAGCACCCGCAGGAAGGGGGAUCGCCAUGAUAGCCAUUUGUGAAC
Molecule: RNA transcript, 457 nt
Organism: Cebus imitator (Panamanian white-faced capuchin)
Lineage: Eukaryota; Metazoa; Chordata; Mammalia; Primates; Cebidae
Gene name: 40S ribosomal protein S14-like
Exons: 1
Source: RefSeq, a predicted model, not a curated record